UUCGGGAUGGCUCAGUUGGUAGAGCAUGAGACUCUUAAUCUCAUGGUUGUGGGUUCUAGCCCCACAUUGAGCAAAA
Non-coding RNA from Podarcis lilfordi (Lilford's wall lizard), 76 nucleotides. The record is from the annotation of a GenBank genome assembly. Lineage: Eukaryota; Metazoa; Chordata; Lepidosauria; Squamata; Lacertidae.